UUCUGUGUUGUAUAAUGGUUAGGCAGCUGGCCUUGUAACUCAGAGGUUGUGGGUUCAAUUCCCAGCCAUGGCAU
Molecule: non-coding RNA, 74 nt
Organism: Albula glossodonta (roundjaw bonefish)
Lineage: Eukaryota; Metazoa; Chordata; Actinopteri; Albuliformes; Albulidae
Source: the annotation of a GenBank genome assembly